RNAcentral lists this unclassified non-coding RNA (319 nucleotides) under uncultured fungus. Its description in RNAcentral is "partial contains small subunit ribosomal RNA, internal transcribed spacer 1, and 5.8S ribosomal RNA". The stretch from base 1 to 73 matches the Rfam family "Eukaryotic small subunit ribosomal RNA", at positions 1759 to 1831 of the family's 1831-position model. The record is from RNAcentral. Lineage: Eukaryota; Fungi.
UCAAACUUGGUCAUUUAGAGGAAGUAAAAGUCGUAACAAGGUUUCCGUAGGUGAACCUGCGGAAGGAUCAUUAACAAAUCAAUUGUGCUACGGAGCAAUCCGUAUGCAUAUAAACCCGAACCCGUGCAGUAAUGCCGGGCUAGGUGUGUAUGCUGAUUUAUCAGUGUGCACGGCCGAGAGUAAGUGUGUGCUUAAAUGUGUGUGCGCUUACCCAAAGCCAAAUAGACGCUUGUAUGUUUUGACAGAUCUAGUUGACAACAAAAAAUUGACAACUUUUAACAAUGGAUCUCUUGGCUCUUGCAUCGAUGAAGAACGCAGC